Molecule: long non-coding RNA, 1584 nt
Organism: Lynx canadensis (Canada lynx)
Lineage: Eukaryota; Metazoa; Chordata; Mammalia; Carnivora; Felidae
Exons: 6
Source: RefSeq, a predicted model, not a curated record
CUCCAUCAUUUUGUCUCACCAGGCUUAAUGCUGGGUAUUUCUUCAGACUAAUUGUUUGUUUAUAGAAUUCUCCAUCCAGAGUACAUUGAUAGACGUCAUUCCUUUCAAAGAGGACCUAGAUACCUGGGUGUUUCCCAAGGAAGUAUGAAAGCUGAUAUAAACAUGGCAUUUCUGGCAUUCAUCUUCAUGAAUCCAUGAACAAGAGGGAGAAGCAGCAAUGAAUGAUACUUAUGUACAACCCCAAAUAAGAUAGUGUUAAAAAUAAAUUCAAGAGUUAUCUGCCUCGGUCACUUAAGGGCAGGUUCAGAGAAAUGGUGUAAAAGGAUAAGAGUAGAGGAUGGCUAAAAGCAAAGGUGAAAACUGCACCCAAGGCGAAGGAGCAACUUUCCACUGCAUGUCUCAGUUUGGCUCAAGAUGAGUGCGGGAGAUGGAGGUCGAGUCUCUGGAGACUUUAUCUGAGGGGCAAGCAGGGUCUUCACGAGAUAUCUCUUUGUCAGUCAUUCUGCUGUACCCUACUCUGUGCGGUAUGAGUUGGAGCCAGAAGAAAUGGAACAUCUAAAGCUGACCAUGAACAAACACUAUGAUGUCUCCCAGCAAACUCUUGACCUCCAGAGGCUCUGCUUUGACCCAGAUUGUUGAAGACUUGGUGGGCCAUGAUAUUGAUAUAAUCCUGAAUUGAAGAAAAUGCAUGGCUGCCACCCUGAAGAUCAUUGAAAAGAGUUCCCCCUGAUGUGAGGCCUUAUGCCCAGUGCUGUUUUUAUGGUAGAGGAUGGUACGAAUGGUGUGGAGGGAAGACUUGUUUCUGAGGCCCUAGAUAGUAACUGUCACUCUAACUCCUUCUCACAAAAAGCUGUUGUCCUUGAACUCGAUCAACAACAAACUGUACAGGCUGCAUGGCCUGUCUGACAUUAUACAGAUGGUCCCCACAGUCAAGAUCCUGAAGCUCUCUAAGAAUGAGGUGGGAAGACGGCGCCAGAUCAAAGUUGGGGUUGACGGUGGGUGGUAGUGUUUAUCAGUGAUGACAGGAGGCAGGAGAAGGUACCUGUGUGGAAAAGUGGGGGCUGGGGGUGCAGGGGCCCACAUGUCUCUCUUUCCCUGGGACUCGUUUCCAGCUUCCUCCCCAUAUUUCUCAGCAGACGUCAGCCUGAGAGCUGGACAAAGUGAGGGAGCUGUGGCUAGACGAGAAUCCGUGACACCUUUCCUGGGGACCUCUGCCCCUGGGAGCAUGAGCUACCUGACAGUGCCCAUCUGCAGGAGGCAGCAGCUAUGAGGAGGACCAUGUGCCCUGACUUCUCUACUCUCUUUCUCACCUGUGCUUAGAGGUCUCCUUUCCUUCCUGUGACCUGCUUACCUGUUUUCCUGGUCUGGGGUCUGUUUCUUACCCUUCUGCACUUAGCUUUCCCUAACAUACUGCUAUGUUCUGACUGUGUCCCCCACCUCACCGCAUUCAUUUGUUGAAAUCCUGACACCCAAAGAUGAUAGUAUCAAGAGGUGGUUUUUUGGGAGGUGCUUAGGUCAUGAGGGUGCAACCUUCCUGAAUGGAAUGAGUACCAUUAUAUAAAAGGCUCCAGAGAGAUCCCUAAC